AAGGAUCAUUAUUGAAUGAAUGUAGAGUUGGUUGUCGCUGGCCUUUAUUGGCAUGUGCACGCCUUCUCUUUCAUCCACACACACCUGUGCACCUGUGAGACGGAGAGCUUUGCCCUUUUAUUAGGGUGUUUUUCUCCGUCUGCCAAUACAUAAAACCAUAUAUAAUAAUUUGAAUGUAAUUUGAUGUAACGCAUCUAUAAACUAAGUUUCAACAACGGAUCUCUUGGCUCUCGCAUCGAUGAAGAACGCAGCGAAAUGCGAUAAGUAAUGUGAAUUGCAGAAUUCAGUGAAUCAUCGAAUCUUUGAACGCACCUUGCGCUCCUUGGUAUUCCUUGGAGCAUGCCUGUUUGAGUAUCAUGAAAUUAUCAAAACAUCACCUUUUGUUCAUUCGAUUGGUUUUGGUUUGGACUUGGAGGUCUUGCGGAUUCACGUCUGCUCCUCUUAAAAACAUUAGCUGGAUCUCAGUAAACUCGGUUCCACUCGGCGUGAUAAGUAUCACUCGCUGAGGACACCCGUAAAAAAGGUGGCCAGGAUUGCAGAUGAACCGCUUCUAAUAGUCCAUUAAAUUGGACAAACAUACUUUAUGAUCUGAUCUCAAAUCAGGUAGGACUACCCGCUGAACUUAAGCAUAUCAAUAAGCGGAGGAAAAGAAACUAACAAGGAUUCCCCUAGUAACGGCGAGUGAAGCGGGAAGAGCUCAAAUUUAAAAUCUGGCAGUUUACUGUCCGAGUUGUAGUCUAGAGAAGCAUCAUCCGUGCUGGACCAUGUACAAGUCUCUUGGAACAGAGCGUCAUAGAGGGUGAGAAUCCCGUCCUUGACAUGGACUCCCAGCGCUUUGUGUUGUGCUCUCAACGAGUCGAGUUGUUUGGGAAUGCAGCUCAAAAUGGGUGGUAAAUUCCAUCUAAAGCUAAAUAUUGGCGAGAGACCGAUAGCGAACAAGUACCGUGAGGGAAAGAUGAAAAGCACUUUGGAGAGAGAGUUAAACAGUACGUGAAAUUGUUGAAAUGGAAACGCUUGAAGUCAGUCGCGUUCUCCGGGAUUCAGCCUUGCUUCUGCUUGGUGCAUUUCCUAGUCUACGGGCCAGCAUGGGUUUUGACCGUUGGAAAAGGGCUGGAGGAAUGUGGCACCCUCGGGUGUGUUAUAGCCUCUUGUCGCAUGCAUCGGUUGGGAUCGAGGACCUCAGUGCACGCUUCGGUUGUGCUUUGAUGCUGGCGUAAUGGCUUUAAACGACC
RNAcentral lists this ribosomal RNA (1232 nucleotides) under uncultured Ceratobasidiaceae. Its description in RNAcentral is "eukaryotic LSU rRNA". The stretch from base 590 to 1232 matches the Rfam family "Eukaryotic large subunit ribosomal RNA", at positions 1 to 649 of the family's 3401-position model. Lineage: Eukaryota; Fungi; Basidiomycota; Agaricomycetes; Cantharellales; Ceratobasidiaceae. The record is from RNAcentral.